Long non-coding RNA from Chinchilla lanigera (long-tailed chinchilla), 868 nucleotides. RefSeq lists it as uncharacterized. Lineage: Eukaryota; Metazoa; Chordata; Mammalia; Rodentia; Chinchillidae. The record is from RefSeq and is a predicted model, not a curated record. The transcript is spliced from 5 exons.
UGCAUGUAUCUCACUGGCCAACACCAUGACAAGCAGCUGCCCCUACAUACUGGUGUGGAGCUGUGACAUGGUGUGGAUAAGAGAUUGCCUCUCCAAGGCCCUGCUAACAUGACCCCUGACCUGUGACUGGUCUUCAAUUCAGCGGUGAGGAUACAAGGAAAAGAUGGCCUUCUGCAAAGCAGGAAGAUAGCCUUCUCCAGACCCUGGAUCUGCCAACAUCAUGACCCUGGACUUCCAGCUUCUAUAACUGAUGAAAAGGCAGCGAUUGACCCUAAAUUCAAGACAUUUUUUGCACCCCUAUGAUCAUGACCCAAAGACUCAGGCAGAAAUUCUGACAACAGCAGAUUCUUGUCUGCAAGAAGCAAUGAGAGGUCUCUGCUGUCGGCUACUCUUAUAUUCAAUUGCAUGGACCAGGACCAAGGAGGUAUGCGCUGAGAUAGGGGGUUCAUGAGGAAGUCUGUGUAGGUUUCCAGAUACCUUCUUGUGCUAAGUAACCAUCUCGAUGACCUUGGGCAAAUCCUGAAGUCCUGGUGACAUUUCUGAACAUCAGUGUUCUCAUCUGUGAAAUAAAAAUAAGGAUUGAAUGUGAUAAUCUAAACAUCAUUAGGAUGGGGAUUUUUCCUUGCUUUUACUGAUUCCCACUGCUCAGAAAAAUAGGCAUUCCAUAAACACUCACUGAAUGAUUUGAUGAUCCAUAAGAUGUGUAAGGUUGUCCAGUGUAAAAUACAUAUUUAAUAGUUAUUUUAGCAAUUAGUAUCGUGACUGCCUCUUCCCACCUCUCAUGCUCAAGUAUCUCACCAUGUGCCUACAUAUUUUGUAGAUGACCAUAAAAGAAACACAAUUGGUCUGCUUCCUUAUACUUAGAAGA